ACUCCUACGGGAGGCAGCAGUGGGGAAUAUUGCACAAUGGGCGCAAGCCUGAUGCAGCAACGCCGCGUGAGGGACGACGGCCUUCGGGUUGUAAACCUCUUUUAGCAGGGAAGAAGCGAAAGUGACGGUACCUGCAGAAAAAGCACCGGCUAACUACGUGCCAGCAGCCGCGGUAAUACGUAGGGUGCAAGCGUUAUCCGGAAUUAUUGGGCGUAAAGAGCUCGUAGGCGGUUUGUCGCGUCUGCUGUGAAAACUGGGGGCUCAACCCCCGCCUGCAGUGGGUAGGCAGACUAGAGUGCGGUAGGGGAGAUUGGAAUUCCUGGUGUAGCGGUGGAAUGCGCAGAUAUCAGGAGGAACACCGAUGGCGAAGGCAGAUCUCUGGGCCGUAACUGACGCUGAGGAGCGAAAGGGUGGGGAGCAAACAGGCUUAGAUACCCUGGUAGUCCACCCCGUAAACGUUGGGAACUAGUUGUGGGGUCCUUCCACGGAUUCGUGACGCAGCUAACGCAUUAAGUUCCCCGCCUGGGGAGUACGGCCGCAAGGCUAAAACUCAAAGGAAUUGACGGGGACCCGCACAAGCGGCGGAGCAUGCGGAUUAAUUCGAUGCAACGCGAAGAACCUUACCAAGGCUUGACAUAUAGAGGAAACGGCUGGAAACAUCGCCCCGCAAGGUCUCUAUACAGGUGGUGCAUGGUUGUCGUCAGCUCGUGUCGUGAGAUGUUGGGUUAAGUCCCGCAACGAGCGCAACCCUCGUUCUAUGUUGCCAGCACGUAAUGGUGGGAACUCAUGGGAUACUGCCGGGGUCAACUCGGA
Molecule: ribosomal RNA, 813 nt
Filed under: uncultured Actinomycetes bacterium
Lineage: Bacteria; Bacillati; Actinomycetota; Actinomycetes
Description: bacterial SSU rRNA
Rfam family: Bacterial small subunit ribosomal RNA
Source: RNAcentral